Choloepus didactylus (southern two-toed sloth) is the source of this 582-nucleotide long non-coding RNA. RefSeq lists it as uncharacterized. The transcript is spliced from 4 exons. The record is from RefSeq and is a predicted model, not a curated record. Lineage: Eukaryota; Metazoa; Chordata; Mammalia; Pilosa; Megalonychidae.
UAGUCAGUAAAAGAAACAAUAGUGCAUCUUAAAACUGAUGGCAUCUUAGAUUUGAUUGAAACACAGUUGGUAGAACUUCAAUCCUAGAAUGGGGCGCGUGAAACCUAUCUAGCUUGAAGGGUAUGCAAGUAGAGUCCCCUUAGUCCCUGAACUAAUCUUAAAAGGCUAAGUGUGGUCACCCAUGGUAUUGGAAGAGCUGCUCUGGACAACUGACCUGGGCUGGACCCAGUCCUAAGCCUGGAAUUUAGUUUUCCUACCUGGAAGAAGCCAACUCGGCCCUCUGGGAAGAGUGAUAAUUGCCUGUCCAGCAAAGACUGAGCUCAAGGCAGGACAAAUCAGCACAAGUGAUAAGAUAUCACCCAAAGCAGGAUGAAACCCAUAUGGAUUAUAUCAGCACCUUCUUCCCUUUGAAAGACAAGGUCAAAGGCCUAAAUGUUCAGCAAAGAGAGAAGGGCCUAACAGAUAACAGUCAAGAAACCUAACAUCUUUGUGCUGAAACCAGGAGAGGAAACAAAAUCUCUGUCAGAAGUGUUGGAACCCAUUUGCCUGACUUCAACACCAACAACAGUGAAUCACCUCUGG